UUAAGCAUAUCAAUAAGCGGAGGAAAAGAAACCAACAGGGAUUCCCCUAGUAACGGCGAGUGAAGCGGGAACAGCUCAAAUUUGAAAUCUGGCCCUUGGGUCCGAGUUGUAAUUUGCAGAGGAUGCUUUUGGUGCGGUGCCUUCCGAGUUCCCUGGAACGGGACGCCUUAGAGGGUGAGAGCCCCGUACGGUUGGACACCAAGCCUAUGUAAAGCUCCUUCGACGAGUCGAGUAGUUUGGGAAUGCUGCUCAAAAUGGGAGGUAUAUUUCUUCUAAAGCUAAAUAUUGGCCAGAGACCGAUAGCGCACAAGUAGAGUGAUCGAAAGAUGAAAAGCACUUUGAAAAGAGGGUUAAAUAGCACGUGAAAUUGUUGAAAGGGAAGGAUUUAUGACCAGACUUUUUCUAGGGGGAUCAUCCGGUGUUCUCACCGGUGCACUUCCCCUAGUUGAGGCCAGCAUCGGUUUCUGUCGGGGGAUAAAAGCUUUAGGAAUGUGGCUCCCUCCGGGGAGUGUUAUAGCCUGUUGCAUAAUACCCUGACGGGGACCGAGGUUCGCGCAUUGCAAGGAUGCUGGCGUAAUGGUUAUUAAUCACCCGUCUUGAAACACGGACCAAGGAGUCGAACAUUUGUGCGAGUGUUUGGGUGUUAAACCCUCACGCGUAAUGAAAGUGAACGGAGGUGAGAGCCUUUCGGGGUGCAUCAUCGACCGAUCCUGAUGUCUUCGGAUGGAUUUGAGUAAGAGCAUUAAUGUUCGGACCCGAAAGAUGGUGAACUAUGCGUGGAUAGGGUGAAGCCAGAGGAAACUCUGGUGGAGGCUCGCAGCGGUUCUGACGUGCAAAUCGAUCGUCAAAUCUGCGCAUGGGGGCGAAAGACUAAUCGAACCAUCUAGUAGCUGGUUACCGCCGA
RNAcentral lists this ribosomal RNA (904 nucleotides) under Apiospora sacchari. Its description in RNAcentral is "eukaryotic LSU rRNA". It matches the Rfam family "Eukaryotic large subunit ribosomal RNA", at positions 34 to 964 of the family's 3401-position model. RNAcentral also lists the same sequence under 1 other name. The record is from RNAcentral. Lineage: Eukaryota; Fungi; Ascomycota; Sordariomycetes; Amphisphaeriales; Apiosporaceae.